CGUAGCGCGUAUUCCCGCGGCCCGCGAAACGAGGAAGCAGGAAUGCCAAUCACCGAAACGAGCGCGUUCCGAAAACAGCACGAAGCACGGUGACGUCGGUGACGAGCGCGCGCGAAGCACAAACACUUCCUACCGGUGCGAGAUUCCUCGGAAGAAUGAUAACUGAGUCACUCACGCAGGUAACACUACUCCGAGCGUUGACGGAAACAAGUGACAAGUCCGCUCAUCGCCAGAAACAACGUUGAAAACGCGCCGAUCUUCGAGGUACGGAGCUUUCGAGUUCAACGGUCACGCCGCUAGUACGGACUGCGCAGGUUUAACUGGCUGUAUUCUACGUUCUGCGUUCUGUCUCGGUGGUGUCUGGUCGACGUAGCUGUCUCUCGAAACGCGAGUGUUAUAUACAUAUAUCGCGAACACGUAGUGAUCAUUAGCCUGGCGAUUACGUGCAAUCAGAUGCAACUCCCGGGCCGGCCGAGCGCGCGGCCGCCGCGGCCAGUAUAAUAUCCCCUCCAGCUGGCUAGUUCAGACACGAACCAUUAGCACGGACGCAAACCAUGUGCGGUUACCGAGCGAUACGACGUAGUUGAGUUGCACUUUCUCAG
Molecule: long non-coding RNA, 602 nt
Organism: Temnothorax curvispinosus
Lineage: Eukaryota; Metazoa; Arthropoda; Insecta; Hymenoptera; Formicidae
Exons: 3
Source: RefSeq, a predicted model, not a curated record